GAUGAACGCUGGCGGCGUGCCUAAUACAUGCAAGUCGAGCGGUAAGGCUCUGCACUUAGUGUUUGAUCGUAGUAGCUUGCUACUGGAACAAACCAACUCGAACCUAGGCUAGGGGAGACGCGGCGCGGGAAGAUCGAAUUAUAAGUGUAGAGUACACGAGCGGCGGACGGCUGAGUAACACGUAGGAACGUACCCCAGACUGAGGAAUAACUGCCCGAAAGGGUAGCUAANACCGCAUAGUCUCUUCGGAGUAAAGCUUCGGCGGUUUGGGAACGGCCUGCGCAUGAUUAGCUUGUUGGUGAGGUAAAAGCUCACCAAGGCGACGAUCAUUAGCUGGUCUGAGAGGAUGAUCAGCCAGACUGGACUGAGAACGGCCCAGACUCCUACGGGAGGCAGCAGUAGGGAAUUUUCCACAAUGGGCGAAAGCCUGAUGGAGCAACGCCGCGUGCGAGGA
RNAcentral lists this ribosomal RNA (454 nucleotides) under uncultured bacterium. RNAcentral describes it as "bacterial SSU rRNA". It matches the Rfam family "Bacterial small subunit ribosomal RNA", at positions 28 to 409 of the family's 1533-position model. The record is from RNAcentral.